GUGAGGAAUAUUGGACAAUGGGCGCAAGCCUGAUCCAGCCAUGCCGCGUGCAGGAAGACGCAUCUAUGGUGUGUAAACUGCUUUUGUACGGGAAGAAACACUCCCUCGUGAGGGAGCUUGACGGUACCGUAAGAAUAAGGAUCGGCUAACUCCGUGCCAGCAGCCGCGGUAAUACGGAGGAUCCAAGCGUUAUCCGGAAUCAUUGGGUUUAAAGGGUCCGUAGGCGGUUUAAUAAGUCAGUGGUGAAAGCCCAUCGCUCAACGAUGGAACUGCCAUUGAUACUGUUAGACUUGAAUUACAAGGAAGUAACUAGAAUAUGUAGUGUAGCGGUGAAAUGCUUAGAUAUUACAUGGAAUACCAAUUGCGAAGGCAGGUUACUACUUGUGGAUUGACGCUGAUGGACGAAAGCGUGGGGAGCGAACAGGAUUAGAUACCCUGGUAGUCC
This 445-nucleotide ribosomal RNA is filed under the name uncultured bacterium. Its description in RNAcentral is "partial 16S ribosomal RNA". It matches the Rfam family "Bacterial small subunit ribosomal RNA", at positions 354 to 796 of the family's 1533-position model. The record is from RNAcentral.